Long non-coding RNA from Hermetia illucens (black soldier fly), 752 nucleotides. RefSeq lists it as uncharacterized. The transcript has 2 exons. The record is from RefSeq and is a predicted model, not a curated record. Lineage: Eukaryota; Metazoa; Arthropoda; Insecta; Diptera; Stratiomyidae.
GUCAGUAACUAUCAAAUAUUUUAACUAUCCACAUCCCUUUAGACAGAAAAUUCAAUAAAAAUAGCAAAAGAAGACGAAAGGCGGCAAAAAAAAAAUGUUUUAAAAAUCCAUGAAAAUCAUAAGUUAAAGUAGGGUUUCCGCCCCAUAUUUCUCUUCAUAUAUUUGGGAAACUCGAAAUUUUUAGUUCAAUAGAAGUCCGUCCGGAUUAUUUUAAUUUUAAUUUAAACAAUAAAAAUAAGGAUUUAUUGUUGGUGUUAUUUCAUCAUUCAGUAUGCAACACCUUGGAAGUAAUAGAGGAUCUUAUUCCCAUUACCAACCGCCGCAUUUUAUACCUCAUUACUAUUUCACCGGACACAGUUUCCCAAAGCCAGGGGUACAUAGCGCGUUUUGCGGAUCACCGACAACUUAUUGCUUAGCCGAUUCUUGCCUUCGAAACCCUUUCGCAACCAACUGCUAUCCGGCAUGCUUUCCACCAGGACGAUAUACAUGUAUUCCAUAUUUAGGUCCACCGAAGUACGGACAUAGAAGAUCAGCUUUUCGGGGAUGCUGCGGCGUAUCUGGUGGAAUAGGGGGCUAUAUUUAACUGGCGAAAAAUCAAUCAAUUGGUAACCAGUCAUAAAAACCGGGUGCCACAUACUAUUAUUAACCUAAAAUUAUCUUUUGUACUUUCACAUCUUAAUCUCAAUAUGCUGGUCAUACAGCUUAAAAAUUGUUUCAUAAAUAUUGCAAAAUUCGUCGUAUUUACUAUGCAA